Molecule: non-coding RNA, 116 nt
Organism: Cordylochernes scorpioides
Lineage: Eukaryota; Metazoa; Arthropoda; Arachnida; Pseudoscorpiones; Chernetidae
Source: the annotation of a GenBank genome assembly
CCAUAGAUGACCACGUUGAAAACACCGGUUCCCAUCCAAUCACCGAAGUUAAGCAAUGUCGGGCCUGGUCAGUAUUUGGGAGGGUGACCACCUGGGAACACCGGGUGCUGUAGGCU